This 829-nucleotide long non-coding RNA is filed under the name Mus musculus (house mouse). RNAcentral describes it as "long non-coding RNA chr18:36577257-36578086". The record is from RNAcentral. Lineage: Eukaryota; Metazoa; Chordata; Mammalia; Rodentia; Muridae.
UUGUGUGACACUAAAGUUGAACUCAGGUCAUCAGACUUGGCAGUGUUGUUACUUGAUGCUGUCUCAUUUCCAUAUGUAUAUAUUAGUUCUUUGAUACUUACUGUUUUUGUUUUGUUUUUAAAGAUUUAUUUAUUUAUUUUAUGUGUAUGAGUAUUCUAUCUGCAUGUACACCUGUGUGCCAGAGAGGGCAUCAGAUCCCAUUGUAGAUGAUUGUGAGCCACCAUGUGGCCACUGGGAAUUGAACUCAGGACUUCUGGAAGAGCAGCCAGUGCUCUUAACCUCUAAGGUAUCUCUCCAGCCCCUUCUUCAUGUAUCUUAUUUUUAAAAUGGUACCUAAAGAGAAAAAAAAAAGAAAAAGAAAAAAAGAAAAAAAAAAAAAAAAACAAGGUGUUGGAUAGAUGUCUCCAUGGUUAGCAGUACUUGCUGUACAAGCAUGAGGACAUUAGAUUGGAUCCCACAACCAUGUAAAAUGUCACGUGUGGCAAGUUUGUGACCCAGUGCAGACCUGGGGUUUGCUGGCUCUCAGUCUAGCUCCUGGUUUAAUGAGAGAUUUGAGUUUAGAAGGACUAAGGUAGACUUUGACAAAGACAUGUGAUGUCCUGUGUACUACACAAAGCAUGUGCACCUACAUACACAUGUGCAUAUACUGCAAAACGUUUACUAUAUUCUCAUUAUACAUACAUGAACAUACAUGCAAAAUAAUAAUGAAUGUUGAAAACCAAAACCUCAAACUAUACUGUUAGAGAUUCAGAAAGAUCAUUGAUAGCCUUUUAAUGUAUGUCGUUAUUAAUGGAAAAUUUAUAUUUCACCUAUUAAUGACAAAAAAGAU